Non-coding RNA from Chelonoidis abingdonii (Abingdon island giant tortoise), 2108 nucleotides. Lineage: Eukaryota; Metazoa; Chordata; Testudines; Testudinidae. The record is from RefSeq and is a predicted model, not a curated record.
GUUUAAUCAGCAUUAGCAGCUUGCCUGCAAACUGACUGCUCCUCCUAGAUCACCGUUUCUCAAAUGCGGCCGCCGUGGCCACAUGCAGCACCCAGGGUUUCCCUGUGACCAAGGCAGUUUUCUUGGCAGUGGGGGCGGGGAGCAUCAGCCUCUUCCCCUCCUCUCUGUUGCUCCUGCAUGUGCCGCCUCUCUGGACACACAAUGCUUAAGUCCCACUAGGGUUAGCAACAAUGGAACUACAGGUACAGAUGGACUCCCUGCAAUGCUAACACCAAUGGAGCUGAACUGCUGCAGAUAAGUGAGAGAUAUACCUCAGGAUUUCCUGAAGCAGUGACACAAACUGGAGAAGUAACUGGUAGGUGUAUGAAUGGAGACGCAGAGGAGGGUGGAAGAGCUGUAGUGUUGCUCAUAGGCAUGCCCAAACAAUCCUGCUAAAGCUCAGCAAGGGAGGAGAAAAACCCUUUCCCCCGCUCCCAGAAAUAAAAAAAAAAAACACCUGUCUGCUCUGUUUGAAAAUUAAUGCAUUUUACAAAAAUCAUUUUAAAAAAUCAAGUUGACAGUGACCUUUUAGCAUGAGGAACCCGCAAUCAUGAUUACAUCACAGAGGAAGUGGCAGACAGUAACUAAAAUGGACUGAUAUUUGUGAUACCACGAAAGAUGAAUAUCACAUUGAAUUCACUAAAAUCAAACAGCUUUCAACUACAAGUGCAGAACAGAGUCAUCCAGAAACCAUGGAGCAGCAAUGUACUGAGUUGGCACACAUGCCCAAGCGAGUCAGUGAAACAGAUCAACCAACACAGUAAGCGCUACACCAGCAGUUCUCAAACUUAAUUGCACCACAACCCCCUUCUGACCGCAAAAUUACUACAUGACCCCACGAGGGUGGACCGAAGCCUGUGCCUGCCUGAGCCUUGGGCAGUGGGGCCAAAGCUGAAGCCCAAGGGCUUCAGCUCCAGCUGGGCGGAGGGAAAGCAAAGCCAAAGUCCAAGGACUUCAGCCCCAGGUGUGGGGCCCAUAACCUGAGCCCCACCAUCCAAGGCUUCAGCCCUGGGCCCCAGCAAGUCUAAUGCCAACACUGGCAACACCAUUAAAACGGAGUCAUGACCCACUUUGGGGUCCUGACCCACAGUUUGAGAACCACUGCUCUACACGGUAAGAGAGAGCAAACAGUUAAACUAGUGUAUUGACAGAAAUAAAAGUAAUCUAUGUAUUCUUGGCCUCCCUAAGGAAGAAGAGAGAUCCGAUCUGCUAUUUUAAGUAAUUGUUGGGAAAAACUCUAAAUCUAGACAUGGAAAAUGAGUCAGGGCCCACAGAAUUAAUGGGAAAGGCCCUUUACUAAACAAGGAAGAUGCAAAAACUGAGAUUAUGAAAGAAGUUUAGUAGCUGACAGGAAAAACAAGCAUUUGCAGAGCAAAGAUUUUGUUCCUUCUGGAUUUUCGACUCUCUUACUAAGAAGAGACGCUAUCUAGCUGUGAAGAGUACCUUCAUGGAAUUAAAUGUGAUGAUUCACUUUUGUAGUUAAGAAGCCUUUAGAGAAAGCACAAAGGAAAAAAGUUUUGGGACAUGAAGGAAAAAAAAAACACAUCAGCCUUACUCAGCAAGACAGUACGAGAGGAAUGUGGAUAAAGCUGUGCUGGGAACAGUCAAAGGAAUAAUUGAUAUAUAAUGUGACUGAAGAAGAAUGUGAAUUUUAAAAAUGUUAAUUUAUUAACAUCUGUCAAGGGGAUCAGAGAGCUGUUUCUUGUUGUGGCCAUGUUAAUUCAAUAUUAUAUUUGGGCUUUUCUUCUUGGCUGUAAUUGCUAUACAGACUUUGUCUUAAAAAUACAAGAAACUAUAGCGUGCAAUAAAGCAAAGCAUUUUUACCUGCUUAGCAUUGUGUUCAACAGAGUUUGUAAAACAUAUGUACUGGUAUCCUUCUCUCCCCACAAACUGGAAUAUACCACUGGAAAUUACAACACAUCCAGCAGUGUAAAUCCUCUCUUCAGUAUUCAUAUUCUGGCUGGGUUUCCUGGCAUUUAAAAUUUAUCUAACAGAACACCAAUAAUAAUAAUAAAAACUUUUGACAUUAUUAUUUUGUUAUAUUUCACAUUUAAAAAAAGAAGACCCAU